This 310-nucleotide non-coding RNA is filed under the name Bacillus gaemokensis. RNAcentral describes it as "bacterial LSU rRNA". It matches the Rfam family "Bacterial large subunit ribosomal RNA", at positions 485 to 798 of the family's 2925-position model. Lineage: Bacteria; Bacillati; Bacillota; Bacilli; Caryophanales; Bacillaceae. The record is from RNAcentral.
CGAUAGUGAACCAGUACCGUGAGGGAAAGGCGAAAAGAACCCCGGAAGGGGAGUGAAAUAGAUCCUGAAACCGUAUGCAUACAAACAGUAGGAGCCUCCUUGUGGGGUGACUGCGUACCUUUUGUAUAAUGGGUCAGCGACUUACAUUCAGUGGCAAGGUUAACCGAAUAGGGAAGCCGUAGCGAAAGCGAGUCCGAAUAGGGCGAUUCAGUCGCUGGGUGUAGACCCGAAACCAGAUGAUCUAUCCAUGGCCAGGUUGAAGGCACGGUAACACGUGCUGGAGGACCGAACCCACUAAUGUUGAAAAAUU